Molecule: ribosomal RNA, 634 nt
Filed under: uncultured Gammaproteobacteria bacterium
Lineage: Bacteria; Pseudomonadati; Pseudomonadota; Gammaproteobacteria
Description: bacterial SSU rRNA
Rfam family: Bacterial small subunit ribosomal RNA
Source: RNAcentral
GGGCCCGACGUCGCAUGCUCCCGGCCGCCAUGCGGCCGCGGGAAUUCGAUUAGAGUUUGAUCCUGGCUCAGAUUGAACGCUGGCGGCAGGCCUAACACAUGCAAGUCGAGCGGCAGCGGGGGGAAGCUUGCUUCCCCGCCGGCGAGCGGCGGACGGGUGAGUAAUGUCUGGGGAUCUGCCCGAUGGAGGGGGAUAACCACUGGAAACGGUGGCUAAUACCGCAUAACCUCUUUGGAGUAAAGUGGGGGACCUUCGGGCCUCACGCCAUCGGAUGAACCCAGAUGGGAUUAGCUAGUAGGUGGGGUAAUGGCUCACCUAGGCGACGAUCCCUAGCUGGUCUGAGAGGAUGACCAGCCACACUGGGACUGAGACACGGCCCAGACUCCUACGGGAGGCAGCAGUGGGGAAUAUUGCACAAUGGGCGCAAGCCUGAUGCAGCCAUGCCGCGUGUAUGAAGAAGGCCUUCGGGUUGUAAAGUACUUUCAGCGGGGAGGAAGGCAACAGCGUGAAUAGCGCUGUUGAUUGACGUUACCCGCAGAAGAAGCACCGGCUAACUCCGUGCCAGCAGCCGCGGUAAUACGAAUCACUAGUGAAUUCGCGGCCGCCUGCAGGUCGACCAUAGGGAGAGCUCCCA